This 73-nucleotide transfer RNA is filed under the name Dreissena polymorpha. It matches the Rfam family "tRNA". From Rfam's summary of the family: Transfer RNA (tRNA) molecules are approximately 80 nucleotides in length. Their secondary structure includes four short double-helical elements and three loops (D, anti-codon, and T loops). The record is from Rfam by way of RNAcentral. Lineage: Eukaryota; Metazoa; Mollusca; Bivalvia; Myida; Dreissenidae.
GCCUCCGUGGCCUCAUGGAUAAGGCACCGGCCUCCUAAGCUGGGGAUUGCGGGUUCGACUCCCGCCGGAGAUU